UGCCAAAGUGCUUGCUCAUUGGGUGUCAUAUGAUUGUUGGGUUCUUCUCUGCAUGCGUUAUUGUAGGGACUACCUUACAAUAGCACUGUAUAAAUAAAAGUGAAUUGAACUGAACUGAAUUAAUUUAUAUAUAAUUAAAAAGUAAUCAUUUACACACAAAAUGUUAAGUUCAACUAAGUUUGAUCAGUUUUGCUCUCAAAAAACUCCCUGACUGUGCAAAUGUGUAAAAGUGUUUUAAGACAACCUCUUCCUUGCUGUUGCCUGAUAUGCUCAGAAAAGGUCACAUGUGCAGGUAACUUUACAGAUUCUCAAAUGUAACCUGCGUCCAUGUGGUAGUGGAAAAUUGGGACAUUGGGGCUUCAUCUGUGUUUUUGUGCUAUUUCAAAUAAAAUGUUUUUUUUUCCCCUAAAUAACCAGAAUAGUUCAUCGGCCCUCUACUAAAAACAUUCACUUCCCAAUUACAGAUGCUAUACAGUAACCUAUAAAGGUUAUUAUGUGCUUCACAUGGUGCUGCUAUAUGUAGGACAUUCUUCUGCUGGGAUAACAGGACUGCAGCCUGCAGAGGGAGAAGAAAUGAUGAAGCAUUUUGAGAUGUGAGAGAAUGAACAAGAACAGAGGAGAAAAGACAAAGUUCUGAAAAUUUCUGAAAAUCUUCAGAACUCAUUGGACUAAAUGUGAACCAUAAGGAGAAGGCUUAACACAGUGAUUGGAGAUUGAGCCUGAAUUAUAACCCUGAUUUAACCCUUCUUACAUCCUGUUUUUCAGAUGUUCAUUCAGCAGCGUCUCUCACAGUGAGUCCUGACAGAGUGCAACACUUCCCCUCUGACUCUGUCUCACUGACCUGUGAGGGAAACUUCACUGAGUGGAGAGUGAGCAAGUUUAGUGAAAAAGGCUUUUUUUCACACUGCUGUGACUGCCAGAAACUGAGUGGAUCCUCUUAUAAGAUCCACAGCUUACAGGAGGGUGUUACUGUGUACUGGUGUGAGUCUGGAUCAGGAGAGCUCAGCAAUGCAGUCAACAUCACUGUACGAGGCUCUGGAUCUAAAAUCGGUUCAUUUAUCGUUCCAUUCAUCAUCGGACUUGUUAGUGGAAUUAUCCUCAUGCUGCUGCUGCUGCUGUGUUGCUGCAGAAAGAUAAAGGAUCUUUGUUGUAACAGUCUCACUCAGUCUCAGAGCACCAAUCAAAACUCUGCUGCACAACAAAAAGUCAACAAGAAUGAGAACAACGUUUACUCCUCUCUUCUUCCUGGUGAUUUUCCAGUUUAUGAAAUAAUCAGAUCCUCUGGAAACACUGGAAGUGGUACAGUAUAACCUCUGAUAAUAACAUAGCUAUAAGAGAUAUAAUGAUUAUAAACUGACUGAUCAGACCUGACGUCAUGUUAUUAUUUAAGCUGGACCAGCAGAUGAACAUAGAAAUGUCACAUCUACACUUGAACUUAAUGUUAUUGAUGAGGAGACUGACUUCAGAAAAUGGAGAAAUGACGACCCAGACGGGAGCUCUGACUACGAGGAUGAUGAUCAUGAGACAGGCUCAGUUACAGGUUCAGGAAGAGGACGUGGACAUUAACAAAGAAACUUGUGGACAAGAACAUAAAAUAAAUAACGGAACUUUCACCAUGUU
Oreochromis niloticus (Nile tilapia) is the source of this 1620-nucleotide long non-coding RNA. RefSeq lists it as uncharacterized. The record is from RefSeq and is a predicted model, not a curated record. The transcript has 7 exons. Lineage: Eukaryota; Metazoa; Chordata; Actinopteri; Cichliformes; Cichlidae.